Molecule: transfer RNA, 73 nt
Filed under: Proteus myxofaciens
Lineage: Bacteria; Pseudomonadati; Pseudomonadota; Gammaproteobacteria; Enterobacterales; Morganellaceae
Description: Cosenzaea myxofaciens tRNA-Glu
Rfam family: tRNA
About the family: Transfer RNA (tRNA) molecules are approximately 80 nucleotides in length. Their secondary structure includes four short double-helical elements and three loops (D, anti-codon, and T loops). Further hydrogen bonds mediate the characteristic L-shaped molecular structure. tRNAs have two regions of fundamental functional importance: the anti-codon, which is responsible for specific mRNA codon recognition, and the 3' end, to which the tRNAs corresponding amino acid is attached (by aminoacyl-tRNA synthetases). tRNAs cope with the degeneracy of the genetic code in two manners: having more than one tRNA (with a specific anti-codon) for a particular amino acid; and 'wobble' base-pairing, i.e. permitting non-standard base-pairing at the 3rd anti-codon position.
Source: RNAcentral
UCCCCUUCGUCUAGAGGCCUAGGACACCGCCCUUUCACGGCGGUAACAGGGGUUCGAAUCCCCUAGGGGACGC